This 1170-nucleotide ribosomal RNA is filed under the name Pantoea agglomerans. RNAcentral's name for it is "partial 23S ribosomal RNA". It matches the Rfam family "Bacterial large subunit ribosomal RNA", at positions 1 to 1212 of the family's 2925-position model. The record is from RNAcentral. Lineage: Bacteria; Pseudomonadati; Pseudomonadota; Gammaproteobacteria; Enterobacterales; Erwiniaceae.
GGUUAAGCGACUAAGCGUACACGGUGGAUGCCCAGGCAGUCAGAGGCGAUGAAGGACGUGCUAAUCUGCGUAAAGCGACGGUAAGGUGAUAUGAACCGCUACAGCCGUCGAUGUCCGAAUGGGGAAACCCGGUGCACUCUGUGCAUCAUUGCAGCAUGAAUACAUAGUGCUGCAAGGCGAACCGGGGGAACUGAAACAUCUAAGUACCCCGAGGAAAAGAAAUCAACCGAGAUUCCCCCAGUAGCGGCGAGCGAACGGGGAGCAGCCCAGAGCCUGAAUCAGCUUGUGUGUUAGUGGAAGCGUCUGGAAAGUCGCAGGGUACAGGGUGAUACUCCCGUACACAAAAACACACAUGCUGUGAGCUCGAUGAGUAAGGCGGGACACGUGGUAUCCUGUCUGAAUAUGGGGGGACCAUCCUCCAAGGCUAAAUACUCCUGACUGACCGAUAGUGAACCAGUACCGUGAGGGAAAGGCGAAAAGAACCCCGGCGAGGGGAGUGAAACAGAACCUGAAACCGUGUACGUACAAGCAGUGGGAGCCUUCUUUAUGGGGGUGACUGCGUACCUUUUGUAUAAUGGGUCAGCGACUUAUAUUCUGUAGCAAGGUUAACCGUAUAGGGGAGCCGCAGGGAAACCGAGUCUUAACUGGGCGUUAAGUUGCAGGGUAUAGACCCGAAACCCGGUGAUCUAGCCAUGGGCAGGUUGAAGGUUGGGUAACACUAACUGGAGGACCGAACCGACUAAUGUUGAAAAAUUAGCGGAUGACCUGUGGCUGGGGGUGAAAGGCCAAUCAAACCGGGAGAUAGCUGGUUCUCCCCGAAAGCUAUUUAGGUAGCGCCUCGUGAACUCAUCUUCGGGGGUAGAGCACUGUUUCGGCUAGGGGGCCAUCCCGGCUUACCAACCCGAUGCAAACUGCGAAUACCGAAGAAUGUUAUCACGGGAGACACACGGCGGGUGCUAACGUCCGUCGUGAAGAGGGAAACAACCCAGACCGCCAGCUAAGGUCCCAAAGUCAUGGUUAAGUGGGAAACGAUGUGGGAAGGCACAGACAGCCAGGAUGUUGGCUUAGAAGCAGCCAUCAUUUAAAGAAAGCGUAAUAGCUCACUGGUCGAGUCGGCCUGCGCGGAAGAUGUAACGGGGCUAAACCAUGCACCGAAGCUGCGGCAGCGAC